This 437-nucleotide ribosomal RNA is filed under the name uncultured Clostridiales Family IV bacterium. Its description in RNAcentral is "bacterial SSU rRNA". It matches the Rfam family "Bacterial small subunit ribosomal RNA", at positions 341 to 792 of the family's 1533-position model. The record is from RNAcentral. Lineage: Bacteria; Bacillati; Bacillota; Clostridia; Eubacteriales; Eubacteriales Family IV. Incertae Sedis.
ACGGAAGGCAGCAGUGGGGGAUAUUGCACAAUGGAGGAAACUCUGAUGCAGCAACGCCGCGUGAGGGAAGAAGGUCUUCGGAUUGUAAACCUUUGUCUUUGGUGACGAAACAAAUGACGGUAGCCAAGGAGGAAGCUCCGGCUAACUACGUGCCAGCAGCCGCGGUAAUACGUAGGGAGCAAGCGUUGUCCGGAAUUACUGGGUGUAAAGGGUGCGCAGGCGGGACAGCAAGUUGGAUGUGAAAAUUACGGGCUUAACUCGUAACCUGCAUCCAAAACUGCAGUUCUUGAGUGAAGUAGAGGUAGACGGAAUUCCUAGUGUAGCGGUGAAAUGCGUAGAUAUUAGGAGGAACACCAGUGGCGAAGGCGGUCUACUGGGCUUUAACUGACGCUGAGGCACGAAAGCAUGGGUAGCAAACAGGAUUAGAUACCCUGGUA